Molecule: ribosomal RNA, 193 nt
Filed under: uncultured bacterium
Lineage: Bacteria
Description: partial 16S ribosomal RNA
Rfam family: Bacterial small subunit ribosomal RNA
Source: RNAcentral
UCGCCCUUCCUACGGGGGGCAGCAGUGGGGAAUUUUGCGCAAUGGGCGAAAGCCUGACGCAGCGACGCCGCGUGGGGGAAGAAGGCCUUCGGGUUGUAAACUCCUUUCGUGAGGGAAAAAGUCCCUAGUAAUCGGGAUGAUGGUACCUCAGGAAGAAGCCACGGCUAACUCUGUGCCAGCAGCCGCGGUAAUA